This 1465-nucleotide ribosomal RNA is filed under the name Prochlorococcus sp. AG-402-K21. RNAcentral describes it as "bacterial SSU rRNA". It matches the Rfam family "Bacterial small subunit ribosomal RNA". The record is from RNAcentral. Lineage: Bacteria; Bacillati; Cyanobacteriota; Cyanophyceae; Synechococcales; Prochlorococcaceae.
AGAGUUUGAUCCUGGCUCAGGAUGAACGCUGGCGGCGUGCUUAACACAUGCAAGUCGAACGAACCUUCGGGUUAGUGGCGGACGGGUGAGUAACGCGUGAGAAUCUGCCCUCAGGAGGGGGAUAACGGUUGGAAACGACCGCUAAUACCCCAUAUGCCGAAAGGUGAAAUGAAUUUCGCCUGAGGAUGAGCUCGCGUCUGAUUAGCUAGUUGGUGAGGUAAUGGCUCACCAAGGCUUCGAUCAGUAGCUGGUCUGAGAGGAUGAUCAGCCACACUGGGACUGAGACACGGCCCAGACUCCUACGGGAGGCAGCAGUGGGGAAUUUUCCGCAAUGGGCGAAAGCCUGACGGAGCAACGCCGCGUGAGGGACGAAGGCCUCUGGGCUGUAAACCUCUUUUCUCAAGGAAGAAGAUAUGACGGUACUUGAGGAAUAAGCCACGGCUAAUUCCGUGCCAGCAGCCGCGGUAAUACGGGAGUGGCAAGCGUUAUCCGGAAUUAUUGGGCGUAAAGCGUCCGCAGGCGGCUUAUCAAGUCUGCUGUUAAAGCGUGGAGCUUAACUCCAUCAUGGCAUUGGAAACUGAUAGGCUUGAGUAUGGUAGGGGCAGAGGGAAUUCCCGGUGUAGCGGUGAAAUGCGUAGAUAUCGGGAAGAACACCAGUGGCGAAGGCGCUCUGCUGGGCCAUUACUGACGCUCAUGGACGAAAGCCAGGGGAGCGAAAGGGAUUAGAUACCCCUGUAGUCCUGGCCGUAAACGAUGAACACUAGGUGUCGGGGGAAUCGACCCCUUCGGUGUCGUAGCUAACGCGUUAAGUGUUCCGCCUGGGGAGUACGCACGCAAGUGUGAAACUCAAAGGAAUUGACGGGGGCCCGCACAAGCGGUGGAGUAUGUGGUUUAAUUCGAUGCAACGCGAAGAACCUUACCAGGGUUUGACAUCCUGCGAACCUCUUAGAAAUUUGAGGGUGCCUUCGGGAAUGCAGUGACAGGUGGUGCAUGGCUGUCGUCAGCUCGUGUCGUGAGAUGUUGGGUUAAGUCCCGCAACGAGCGCAACCCACGUUUUUAGUUGCCAGCAUUUAGUUGGGCACUCUAGAAAGACCGCCGGUGAUAAACCGGAGGAAGGUGUGGAUGACGUCAAGUCAUCAUGCCCCUUACACCCUGGGCUACACACGUACUACAAUGCUACGGACAAAGGGCAGCUAACUCGCGAGAGCAAGCAAAUCCCAUAAACCGUGGCUCAGUUCAGAUCGUAGGCUGCAACUCGCCUACGUGAAGUAGGAAUCGCUAGUAAUCGCAGGUCAGCAUACUGCGGUGAAUACGUUCCCGGGCCUUGUACACACCGCCCGUCACACCAUGGAAGUUGGCCAUGCCCGAAGUCGUUACUCCAACCCUUGUGGAGGAGGACGCCGAAGGUGGGGCUAAUGACUGGGGUGAAGUCGUAACAAGGUAGCCGUACCGGAAGGUGCGGCUG